This 24-nucleotide non-coding RNA is filed under the name Arabidopsis thaliana (thale cress). The record is from RNAcentral. Lineage: Eukaryota; Viridiplantae; Streptophyta; Magnoliopsida; Brassicales; Brassicaceae.
AUAUAAGAUAUGGGUCUCUCCACC